UAUUAAAACCGGGCUGUCGCGAAAGCAU
This 28-nucleotide non-coding RNA is filed under the name Bombyx mori (domestic silkworm). The record is from RNAcentral. Lineage: Eukaryota; Metazoa; Arthropoda; Insecta; Lepidoptera; Bombycidae.